UAAGGAAUAUUGGUCAAUGGACGAAAGUCUGAACCAGCCAUGCCGCGUGAAGGAUGAAGGUCCUCUGGAUUGUAAACUUCUUUUAUAUGGGACGAAAAUGGGUCUUUCUGGAUCAACUGACGGUACCAUUUGAAUAAGCACCGGCUAACUCCGUG
This 155-nucleotide ribosomal RNA is filed under the name uncultured bacterium. RNAcentral's name for it is "partial 16S rRNA". It matches the Rfam family "Bacterial small subunit ribosomal RNA", at positions 355 to 507 of the family's 1533-position model. The record is from RNAcentral.